GACGAACGCUGGCGGCGUGCCUAAUACAUGCAAGUCGAACGGUCUUUUCUAUGGAAGCUUGCUUCCGCUGAGAAGAUAGUGGCGAACGGGUGAGUAACACGUGGGUAACCUGCCCAUAAGAGGGGGAUAACAUCCGGAAACGGUGACUAAAACCGCAUAAGCGCACAUUGUCGCAUGACAAAGUGUGAAAAUAUUUAUAGGUAUAGGAUGGGCCCGCGUCUGAUUAGCUAGUUGGUGAGGUAACGGCUCACCAAGGCGACGAUCAGUAGCCGGCUUGAGAGAGUGACCGGCCACAUUGGGACUGAGACACGGCCCAAACUCCUACGGGA
RNAcentral lists this ribosomal RNA (329 nucleotides) under uncultured bacterium. RNAcentral's name for it is "bacterial SSU rRNA". It matches the Rfam family "Bacterial small subunit ribosomal RNA", at positions 28 to 346 of the family's 1533-position model. The record is from RNAcentral.